RNAcentral lists this ribosomal RNA (405 nucleotides) under uncultured bacterium. Its description in RNAcentral is "partial 16S ribosomal RNA". It matches the Rfam family "Bacterial small subunit ribosomal RNA", at positions 28 to 526 of the family's 1533-position model. The record is from RNAcentral.
GACGAACGCUGGCGGCGCGCUUAACACAUGCAAGUCGAGCGAAGCGGCGGCCGGGUGAGUAACACGUGAGUAACCUGCCUUAGACAUUGGGAUAGCCUCGGGAAACCGGGAUUAAUACCAAAUGGUCUAAGAUGGACUCGCGUCCCAUUAGCUAGUUGGUGGGUAACGGCCCACCAAGGCGACGAUGGGUAGCCGGCCUGGGAGGGUGAGCGGCCACGUUGGGACUGAGAUACGGCCCGGACUCUACGGGAGGCAGCAGUGGGGGAUAUUGCACAAUGGGCGAAAGCAUGAUGCAGCGACGCCGCGUGGGGGAUGAAGGCUUUGGGGUUGUAAACCUCUUUCGCUAUCGAACGGGUAGGUGGAGAAGAAGCGCCGGCUAACUACGUGCCAGCAGCCGCGUAAUUC